AAACAAUGAUGUACUAUUCCUAUUCCAUUUCUUAAUUAAAAAAUGUGGAAAAAUCCGAACUGAGUUU
Molecule: small nucleolar RNA, 67 nt
Organism: Boleophthalmus pectinirostris (great blue-spotted mudskipper)
Lineage: Eukaryota; Metazoa; Chordata; Actinopteri; Gobiiformes; Gobiidae
Product: small nucleolar RNA SNORD98
Exons: 1
Source: RefSeq, a predicted model, not a curated record